GAAANUGCUAGAUANCACCGCGUAGAGCUUCGGUCACGAGCGGUAUCGGUCGACNCUUUCGUCUCGUACCACGUUUCAUCUUUCUUUCAAUGAAUGACANAAAUCGCGCUGUCGAUCCGGUUACGCCNGAACUGGGCCCGUAGCUCAGUUGGUUAGAGCACACGCAUAAUAAGGCGUGGG
Molecule: unclassified non-coding RNA, 180 nt
Filed under: uncultured Rhizobiaceae bacterium
Lineage: Bacteria; Pseudomonadati; Pseudomonadota; Alphaproteobacteria; Hyphomicrobiales; Rhizobiaceae
Description: partial 16S-23S ribosomal RNA intergenic spacer
Source: RNAcentral